This 465-nucleotide ribosomal RNA is filed under the name Vreelandella stevensii. RNAcentral's name for it is "partial 16S ribosomal RNA". It matches the Rfam family "Bacterial small subunit ribosomal RNA", at positions 338 to 795 of the family's 1533-position model. The record is from RNAcentral. Lineage: Bacteria; Pseudomonadati; Pseudomonadota; Gammaproteobacteria; Oceanospirillales; Halomonadaceae.
CCUACGGGAGGCUGCAGUGGGGAAUAUUGGACAAUGGGGGGAACCCUGAUCCAGCCAUGCCGCGUGUGUGAAGAAGGCCCUCGGGUUGUAAAGCACUUUCAGUGAGGAAGAACGCCUGGUGGUUAAUACCCAUCAGGAAAGACAUCACUCACAGAAGAAGCACCGGCUAACUCCGUGCCAGCAGCCGCGGUAAUACGGAGGGUGCGAGCGUUAAUCGGAAUUACUGGGCGUAAAGCGCGCGUAGGUGGCUUGAUAAGCCGGUUGUGAAAGCCCCGGGCGCAACCUGGGAACGGCAUCCGGAACUGUCAAGCUAGAGUGCAGGAGAGGAAGGUAGAAUUCCCGGUGUAGCGGUGAAAUGCGUAGAGAUCGGGAGGAAUACCAGUGGCGAAGGCGGCCUUCUGGACUGACACUGACACUGAGGUGCGAAAGCGUGGGUAGCAAACAGGAUUAGAUACCCUAGUAGUC